GGGGAAUAUUGCACAAUGGGCGCAAGCCUGAUGCAGCAACGCCGCGUGAAGGAAGACGGUUUUCGGAUUGUAAACUUCUGUUCUUAGUGAAGAAAUUUGACGGUAGCUAAGGAGCAAGCCACGGCUAACUACGUGCCAGCAGCCGCGGUAAUACGUAGGUGGCAAGCGUUAUCCGGAUUUACUGGGUGUAAAGGGCGCGUAGGCGGGGAUGCAAGUCAGAUGUGAAAUCUAUGGGCUUAACUCAUAAACUGCAUUUGAAACUGUAUCUCUUGAGUGCUGGAGAGGUAGAUGGAAUUCCUUGUGUAGCGGUGAAAUGCGUAGAUAUAAGGAAGAACACCAGUGGCGAAGGCGAUCUACUGGACAGUAACUGACGCUGAGGCGCGAAAGCGUGGGGAGCAAACAGG
This 404-nucleotide ribosomal RNA is filed under the name uncultured bacterium. RNAcentral describes it as "bacterial SSU rRNA". It matches the Rfam family "Bacterial small subunit ribosomal RNA", at positions 356 to 776 of the family's 1533-position model. The record is from RNAcentral.